AGCUAUUCUAAUGUGUAGCCAGUGCUGAGACUCACUGAUCCAGUGGAACCCCUUAUUUUCAAGAGAGAAUAAAUCAUUUGGCCAAUGAGAGGGAAGAGAGGUCGAGAGGGAAUGAGUACAGCAGGUGUGAAAACUGAGACUAUAAGUAGGUAGAACAAGACCCUUAAGAUCUGAACGUCUAACUGCAUUUGGAUAAGCCAGGAAGGUCUUCAAGGAUGAAUAGGAGUUUGCAGGCGCAGACUUUUUCUCAUCACACGCGGACGGUGCUAGUGCAGAAUGGGCAGGCCGGGGAGUGGCAGAAGAGGAGUCUGGCGUGGCAGUAUUCUCAUUUUACAGAUGAGAAAACCCAAGCUUGGAAAGAUAAAGCAACUGAGAGAGACCAGAGUCAAAGCCAUGAUUUCACCUUCGAAGACCAUAUUCCUUCCCUAGUAACGUGACAUUUAUGUGCCAAAUCGAACCCUGAGGGCGUAGCUGGAAUUGAACUCCAGACCGGAAGAAAUGAAAUCUACAGCCGUGGAUGUACUGCACAGAAACAUGGCAUGCUUCUGACAGCAGCUUAAAACUCUUCCAAAUCAACAACUUUUCUGAGUAUGGUUUUCUUUUGCAGCAGUUGGAUUUUUAUGGGCAGUCAUUAAAUACACAGCGAAAAUGUACUAUAGAUAUACCAAAAACGGACAAUACGCUGUAUAGAAAAAAUUAUGUAACUGCUUUCCUAUGCUUGAGGUGGCUCUUAUAGCUCAAGAUAUGCCGACGGGGGAUUUAUUUUUUAACUUGUUUACUGAAGAUUUGUUCCAACUGAACAUAACACAGAGCAAACUGUAUCCUUAACAGCCUCCAAAAAGAUGCAUUCUUAAAUACUGUAACUAAUACUUAAGUAAACACUGUUUCUGAAAUAUUCAUUUUGACACACUUAUAAAUCAAAAUUUGAAUUAGCAGAAGUUUAAAACACACGUGGCUUUUAAAUUACUAUAUAAAAAGACAUAAAGAGCUAGAAAGUAUUAUGCUCCAAGGCAAAUGGCCAAAAUGUUUUUUUUUUUUUUAAAAGCUUGAACAACUUCAUUUCCCAAGUUUAUUCAAAAUGAAUGAUUCUGAGAGAAUAAGAACUGAUUGGAAGAUUAAUUUUAAACUGAGAUGAUUUCCAUACUUAGCAAAUACUGGGUUAAAAACAAAUUCUAAUUUUGUUGACUCAUAAAUUAGCAUUUGAUUUACAUGUUACAAAGUAAAUAUUUGUAAACAGACUAAACAAAUGUCUUAUUUAACAGAUAAAAAAAGACACUGUACUCCUACUUCCAGGUUCUGUAAGGCAGACAGGGAAACGAGGAAGGGAAAAGAAAGAAAGAGGGAAGUCUCUUCUAUUUUCUAGCUCUUUAUUCUCUGUGAUACUAGGAAUCAGUAGAAUUUAAAUUUAAACAAGGUGUUUUACUAAAUUUACAAGUAUCACAAACACACACAAAAAGCUAAAGUUUAAUUUACCUGUCUAAGAUCUCAUGGCUAGUUAAGUAGCAGAUGGGACCAGGUAGCUAGUUACCAGGUAGAUAGUUGGUAAACUGAAAAGACUCAGUUAAAAGAGGAGUUGUUGGCCUAUAAAUAGAGGACAAACUGAUGGUUGCCAGAGUUUGCCAGAUGAUGGAGGGGAAUGGGAGGUACAGGCUUCUAGUUCUAGAAUGAUUAAACCACAGGGAUGAAAGGGCCAGCAUCAGGAAUAGAGUUGAUGGUAGUAACUGCACUGUACGGUGACAAGACAGCCGUACUUGCAAUGAGCCUAGAGUUGUUGCCCAGAGUGCAGAACUGCUGAAUUGCUAUGUUAGACACCUGAAACUCGUGUAACAACACUGUAUAUUAGCUAUACUCAAACAUUCUUUUAAACAAGAGGAGUCGUUAAGGAUAAUACAUAUAAAUCUUGACACAUUCUCUUUUAAAUCAGAGUCUAUAAAUGUCCUCUGGUUUUGCCAGUCUUCCACUACAGGGGCAAGGCCUUCUCUCUCCACAUGUAUCAGCUGUCUGGCGUAAACAACCACGGUCUAUGAACUUGAGUUUCAAUUUUUUAUACAGUGGAACAAAAAUUUAAAGGAUUUUAAGUAAAGAACUAUAUUUUACAAUUUUUAAUCCGAUUUUCCCAUUUCUCUCACACACCUGAUUCAAUAGUAUUAAGUAAAUGACUGUGUUUCCAAAUAUUUAACUUUUUUUGCACUCGUAUUUCAUCACUUUAUGUAACAUUUAGUUAAACUAUGUAAUUAUGAUUACUCCUGCUACUGGCAUAAACGGAUUUGGGAAUAAACACAGCUGAUUUUGGGUUAGCAUACAACUUCAUCAGUGAGAACAGAAAUGCAUACCAGACUUCAGUGUCACCUCCUGUCCCAAGACAAAGGGCCUGGUGAAGGUCAGUAAACCAGCACACUGGACCAGUGGAGAAGAGAUAAAAGAAGUUCUACCACAAAGCA
Molecule: long non-coding RNA, 2441 nt
Organism: Mustela erminea (ermine)
Lineage: Eukaryota; Metazoa; Chordata; Mammalia; Carnivora; Mustelidae
Exons: 3
Source: RefSeq, a predicted model, not a curated record